AUUGAACGCUGGCGGAAUGCUUUACACAUGCAAGUCGAACGGUAGAGGGGGCAACCCCUUGAGAGUGGCGAACGGGUGAGUAAUAUAUCGGAACGUGCCCAGUCGUGGGGAUAACGUAGCGAAAGUUACGCUAAUACCGCAUACGAUCUACGGAUGAAAGCGGGGGACUCGCAAGAGCCUCGCGCGAUUGGAGCGGCCGAUAUCAGAUUAGGUAGUUGGUGGGGUAAAGGCUCACCAAGCCAACGAUCUGUAGCUGGUCUGAGAGGACGACCAGCCACACUGGAACUGAGACACGGUCCAGACUCCUACGGGAGGCAGCAGUGGGGAAUUUUGGACAAUGGACGCAAGUCUGAUCCAGCCAUUCCGCGUGCAGGAUGAAGGCCCUCGGGUUGUAAACUGCUUUUGUACGGAACGAAACGGUGAGCUCUAAUACAGUUUGCUAAUGACGGUACCGUAAGAAUAAGCACCGGCCUAACUACGUGCCAGCAGCCGCGGUAAUGUG
RNAcentral lists this ribosomal RNA (502 nucleotides) under uncultured bacterium. Its description in RNAcentral is "bacterial SSU rRNA". It matches the Rfam family "Bacterial small subunit ribosomal RNA", at positions 30 to 527 of the family's 1533-position model. The record is from RNAcentral.